UGUUAUUUUUUUACCAUAAAUUCAUGAUUAGUCAAGAAUUUAAAUAGUAACAGAUUAAAAUAAAUUUAACAUGAUUCACAGGUUUUAAGACCAACAUUUUAAGAGGUACUGUAACAAAUAUAUACAGGAGACAUUAAUGAAGAGUAUCUUCUUCUCUAUCUGCAAAGUAAUAAACCCAAGGAAUUAUGCCACUGACAUGUCAGAGACUCUGUCAUUCAGGAACAAAAUAUAAGGAACAAAAAAUCCUCCCAUUAUAUAUUUAUUUUAGCCUGAACAAAUACAAGAUAUAUAGGAAAAGAGCCAGUCCCCUUGUUCUAAGUUAGGUGAUAGUAAAGAACAGGUGUAAGUACCUUAGCAAUACAAAAACAAAUCAGAUAAAAUUCAAAGAGUAAAGCUGUAAAAGUUAGAGGACAGGCAAGAAAGAGACAAAGGAAGGAACUGACAUAUUAACUUCCUCAAUUGUUGACUUACCAUCAUCCACAUUUCAGAAGAGGAUUAACACUCUGUGCAAAAACUUAUUUAAGAUGACACAAGACAAACAAAAACAUUUACUUGUAAGUAGGAGGAAGAAAAGAAUAAUUUCUUCUUUUUUUUUUUUUUUUUUUCCACUGAAGUUCACAGGGCAGUUUACCAAGCUGUGCCCUUCUCUUUUCAGGGUAGAGUUUGGCACAGUUAAGAUGUGAGCACAGAACCUUAGAAGAGUGAAAGAAACUCGGCACGCUCUUUGCUCCCUGUAACUCUUAUGCAAUGACACCUAUUAUAGGACAAGCCUGGACAAACACUCGGGAAUGGACUUCAGAACACAACGGUGCACUUGAAGUCAAUCCAUGCAGGGGGUGAAGUAACUACCAUGGUUCUGCUGAAUGCCUCACAUUACACCAGCACGUAUGGUGGAAGCCUCUGUAUUUCGUUGUUGCUGCUGUUGUUAUUAGCAGUAAGGGAAAUCCAAAAGAAACUCCAAUUAGGCAGGGGAUCCCAGUCCAAGCUGAAACACCCAGGAGAGAGGUGAAAGGUUUCCCAGCUGUGCUAGUGAUUUGAUGAUGUAUGGCAAAAUGGUACUUUGACCCUGUUCUAAGCCUUAUCCUAACAGGAUGAACUGGAGUUUCAACUAUCCAGGCCUACUGGAAAUUGGGCCCAGCAGUUAUUUGGCAGUGGCCUUCAUGAGCAGCAAUGCCAGCUUUCCAUUGCAAUGCCCACAUUCAGAGAUUUGCAGAAUUAGAGUCCAAAUUCUGCUUGUAUGUGCAAGUCCAGAAUGCCACUGACUUCAAGGGGGUUGUAAGAUUUUAGCCAAGAGCAAAAAUUGGCCCAGGAUUUUUUCAGACUCCCUCAUGCUUCUGUUUAUAUGAUAUUACCAUCAAGCUCUAUUAGCAUGCUCCAUGAUGCAUUUUACUUUUAAAUUACAUAAAGGAUAUUUACUGUGCUGAUGCUACAUAGUUUGCAAGAAAGAUGCACAUAUGGAAAUGAAAAAACAUCAAUUACCAUCAGGAUUUCCAGCUUUCAGCAUUCAUUUUCCAAAACAACCCAGAGACUAUUUCUCAUUAAAAAAAAAAAAAAAAAAAAAAAAAAAGCAGAAAUGAAAAUCCAAUUUCUUGGCAUUUAUGUACGGCAUUCUGGACCCUUGCUCGUCAAGUCUGUUGUGAAAAUGGUUGGAAUA
Molecule: long non-coding RNA, 1654 nt
Organism: Poecile atricapillus (Black-capped chickadee)
Lineage: Eukaryota; Metazoa; Chordata; Aves; Passeriformes; Paridae
Exons: 3
Source: RefSeq, a predicted model, not a curated record